Molecule: ribosomal RNA, 460 nt
Filed under: uncultured bacterium
Lineage: Bacteria
Description: partial 16S ribosomal RNA
Rfam family: Bacterial small subunit ribosomal RNA
Source: RNAcentral
CCUACGGGAGACAGCAGUGAGGAAUAUUGGUCAAUGGCCGUAAGGCUGAACCAGCCAAGUCGCGUGAAGGAAGAAGGAUCUAUGGUUUGUAAACUUCUUUUAUAGGGGAAUAAAGGUAUCCACGUGUGGAUAUUUGCAUGUACCCUAUGAAUAAGCAUCGGCUAACUCCGUGCCAGCAGCCGCGGUAAUACGGAGGAUGCGAGCGUUAUCCGGAUUUAUUGGGUUUAAAGGGUGCGUAGGUUGUUUUUUAAGUCAGCGGUGAAAGUUUGUGGCUCAACCAUAAAAUUGCCGUUGAAACUGGAAGACUUGAGUGUGUUUGAGGUAGGCGGAAUGCGUGGUGUAGCGGUGAAAUGCAUAGAUAUCACGCAGAACUCCGAUUGCGAAGGCAGCUUACUAAGCCAUAACUGACACUGAAGCACGAAAGCGUGGGGAUCGAACAGGAUUAGAUACCCGAGUAGUC